AUGGCUGGUAGAAAAGUCAAUAUCAAUAGUGGAGAUCUGAGCAGGGUGUGGCACGACCCUUGGAUAGAGAACACUGUCCUGAAAGAUCGAUUUCCUGAUCUUUUUAGCAUCUGCCACGAUCAAGAGAGUACUAUUAUAUCCUGGGUUAGAAAUAAUUAUACCCUUGGAUUAAGACGGAGAUUGAACGGUGUGUUGGGUGAACAAUGGGCUUGGGUGGUUGCGGAAGCUAGAAAAUUAUCAUUGAACAGUUCUUCAGAUACAAUUUCCUGGGCAUUUAGUAGUAAGGGGAAGUAUACGACUAAAUCUAUGUAUGAGUGGUUGGAAAGAAACUUAUCUGGUCCCAAUUAUAAAUGGGUGUGGAAAGCGGCCAUUCCAUUGAAGAUUAAAAUCUUCUUGUGGCAACUUUUACAGAAUGCUGUGCUGACACGGGAUAAUAUGCGCAGUAGGAAGUGGCCUGGGAACCCUGCUUGUUCUUUUUGUACCAAUAUAGAGACGGCUAAUCACUUGUUCUUUACUUGCCUACUUGCUCGUACCGCUUGGGGGGGGGGUUCUGGGUUUAACAGUUGGCACGUCUUGUUGCCCUCGGUCCCUGUGGCAAAGUUUUAUCUGGCUAUAUAA
RNAcentral lists this ribosomal RNA (618 nucleotides) under Triticum aestivum (bread wheat). RNAcentral's name for it is "partial small subunit ribosomal RNA". The record is from RNAcentral. Lineage: Eukaryota; Viridiplantae; Streptophyta; Magnoliopsida; Poales; Poaceae.